This 1769-nucleotide long non-coding RNA is filed under the name Homo sapiens (human). RNAcentral describes it as "HSALNT0115133". Lineage: Eukaryota; Metazoa; Chordata; Mammalia; Primates; Hominidae. The record is from RNAcentral.
AUCUUCACCCGCGGCUCCAUUGGAUGAAACAUCAUUUCCUGAGAUAUCACCCUGAAAUGUAUAGGGAGGCAACUGUCACUAUAUCAUGUAGAUGCAGUUACUGAGAUACACAGAGCCUAGAGGCUAGUAAAAGGCAGGGCCCGUUUGUGCCAUAGCCUCCGGUGGAAGAGCGUGGGAGAACAAUAGAACCCUUCCAUGUGUACAACACUGAGUUCAGAGUGUUCAAGGAGCUGGUUCCAAAGUUCUUAGAAAGAUAGCAAAAUCCGUAAUGAUGGGAAAAGAUGGAGUUACCCACUGUGGAUCCAUUCUGCAAUGUUUCUCCUUGAAGUGAGAUCAAAUGCCUGAGCACGAGUUGUCCUGAGGUCUCCUCCUUUUGAAAGAGAUUGGCCAGAAAUCAAUUGCCUGAUUGAAGUCAGCCUUGCUGUUAACUAAAGAUCAAGCCAGAUGGCGCAGGUCACUAAAGAUGACUGGUUCUGCCCCUGCUGGGAACAGUUCUUGGGCCAGCUGCUCUAAGUCCCCCGCCAGCUUUCCACAAAUGUCUGACCAUCUUGUCACCCUCUUCCUGCAGACAUGAUCAGACACAUUCCCUUCCCCUGAGCCUGUCUGUAGGGAACUGUGCAGUGCCAGCAGAGUUCUGGAAGGAUGAAGUGCUGAGUCUCUGUUGGGUACAGACACAUCCAGUUACUGGCAGGACAGAGUAGUGCUGUGGGCAUUUAAUCAAGAUUCUGUUAGGCAGGGAGGUGUGCUGAGGCUGGAGUUCAGCAGGGAAUGAGAGCAAUUGCUUAUAUUUCCUGAGGAGCUACGAUGGCCAGCUCAGCACUAAGUGCUUCAUAUACAUUACUUCAUUUAAUUCCCACAACAUUCCAGUGAGGCUGGUGGGUACUAGUACUGCUACUGUCCCUUUUCACAGAGAAGGAAACUGAGGUUCCAGGUCAUAAAGAAGUUGCUUAAGCAUACAGCUAAGAGCAGGAGAGCCAGGAUGUUAGCCAGUUGGUCUGAUUCCAGAGUAAGGUCUUCAGGUCUUGGAAUCAGAGUUGGUCUGAUUCCGAGGUUGGUCUGUCUGCAAAGACAUCAAGGAGUUCACAGUGCAGUGGGAGAGAGAGACAAGCCAGCUGGGAUUAUAUGAAAUGAUAUGAGGAUAUGAUAUGGUAAUGUGAUAUGAUAUAUUAUAUGAUCUGGUAUAAUGAUAUAUGAUGAUAUGAUAUGGUAUGAUGAUAUGAUAAUAUGAUAUGGUAAGAUAUAUAUGGCCUGUGAUGAGGCUGUGGAAACAGGGAAAUAACACUGGAUGGAGUCUUGUGGGGGCAGGGAGAUCAUGAAAGCAUUUCCAAAGUUGGAGUUCUAGCUGUGUGUCCCCACAGCACCCUAUGAUGGUUAAUGUUAUGUUAACUUGACUGGGCCAUGGGAUGCCCAGAUAUUUGGUCAAUGUUAUUCUGGGUAUUUCUGUGAGGAUGAUUUUGGACAAGGUUAACAUCUAAAUUAAGAGACUGAGGACAGCUGAUUGCCCUCCCCAAUGCAGGUGGGCCUCGCCCAAUCAGCUGAAGGCCUGAAGAGAACAGAAGGCUGAACCUCCUGUGAGUAAAAGUCCUCCUGCCUGGAUGCUUUCAAACUGGGACAUCAGCUUUUUUUCCUGCCUUCAGACUCGAACUGAAGGAUCCACUCCACUCUUCCUGGGUCUCCAGCUUGCAGACUCCCUCUGCAGAUCUUGGGACCUGCCCACCUUUAUAAUUACGUGAACCAAUUCCUUAUAAUGAAUCGCUUUAUUUGCACAC